This 253-nucleotide ribosomal RNA is filed under the name uncultured bacterium. Its description in RNAcentral is "partial 16S ribosomal RNA". It matches the Rfam family "Bacterial small subunit ribosomal RNA", at positions 524 to 776 of the family's 1533-position model. The record is from RNAcentral.
GACGAACCAAGCAAACGUUGUUCGGAAUCACUGGGCUUAAAGGGCGCGUAGGCGGUCUCUCAAGUCCGGGGUGAAAUCUUUCGGCUCAACCGGAAAAUUGCCUUGGAUACUGUGAGGCUCGAGUGAGGUAGGGGUAACGGGAACAUCCGGUGGAGCGGUGAAAUGCGUAGAUAUCAUCUGGAACGCCAAAGGUGAAAACAGACUGCUGGGAGUGUGCUGACGCUGAGACACGAAAGCUAGGGGAGCGAACAGG